CUUGCUUCUCUUGAGAGCGGCGGACGGGUGAGUAAUGCCUAGGAAUCUGCCUGGUAGUGGGGGAUAACGUUCGGAAACGGACGCUAAUACCGCAUACGUCCUACGGGAGAAAGCAGGGGACCUUCGGGCCUUGCGCUAUCAGAUGAGCCUAGGUCGGAUUAGCUAGUUGGUGGGGUAAUGGCUCACCAAGGCGACGAUCCGUAACUGGUCUGAGAGGAUGAUCAGUCACACUGGAACUGAGACACGGUCCAGACUCCUACGGGAGGCAGCAGUGGGGAAUAUUGGACAAUGGGCGAAAGCCUGAUCCAGCCAUGCCGCGUGUGUGAAGAAGGUCUUCGGAUUGUAAAGCACUUUAAGUUGGGAGGAAGGGUUGUAGAUUAAUACUCUGCAAUUUUGACGUUACCGACAGAAUAAGCACCGGCUAACUCUGUGCCAGCAGCCGCGGUAAUACAGAGGGUGCAAGCGUUAAUCGGAAUUACUGGGCGUAAAGCGCGCGUAGGUGGUUUGUUAAGUUGGAUGUGAAAUCCCCGGGCUCAACCUGGGAACUGCAUUCAAAACUGACUGACUAGAGUAUGGUAGAGGGUGGUGGAAUUUCCUGUGUAGCGGUGAAAUGCGUAGAUAUAGGAAGGAACACCAGUGGCGAAGCGACCACCUGGACUAAUACUGACACUGAGGUGCGAAAGCGUGGGGAGCAAACAGGAUUAGAUACCCUGGUAGUCCACGCCGUAAACGAUGUCAACUA
This 742-nucleotide ribosomal RNA is filed under the name uncultured bacterium. RNAcentral's name for it is "bacterial SSU rRNA". It matches the Rfam family "Bacterial small subunit ribosomal RNA", at positions 79 to 818 of the family's 1533-position model. The record is from RNAcentral.